RNAcentral lists this ribosomal RNA (364 nucleotides) under uncultured Glomeromycotina. Its description in RNAcentral is "eukaryotic LSU rRNA". Lineage: Eukaryota; Fungi; Glomeromycota. The record is from RNAcentral.
UUGAAAGGGAAACGAUUGAAGUCAGUCGUACUUACGAGUAAUCAACCUUUUAGGUGCGAUCUUGUGGGCAUCUGAGAGUGGUAACACCUUGAUGUUUUCAAGUUCGUGCUUUGGGGCGUACUCGCUCGUUUGUAGGUUAACAUCAGUUUCAAGAGUUACAAAAUGACUAAAGGAAUGUAGCUUUGAUUUCGAUUGAAGUGUUAUAGUCUCUGGUAGAUGUAAUGAUUGAGACUGAGGAUUGCAACGAAUACCUUUUAGGCUAUCUGUCUGGCUUCUGGUUAUCGCUUUGGUGCCGAAAGCUUGCUUACGGUUAUUGAAGUUUGGUGGCCAAUAGGUUAGAACGGAUUAAAUUCGUUAAGGAUGU